AUAUAUAUAUAUAUAUUUGAGAUGUUGAGUUUUGUAGCUAUAUAUAUGAGAUGUUGAUUUUUUUAGAUAUAACAUAGAUGUUGAGUUUAUUUGAAAUAUGAGAUGUUGAGUUUAUUUGAACACAUAUGACAUACGAGAUAUAUAUGAGAAUUUACAAUCAUCUAUUCAUUGUGUGAGAAGGAGAUGUUGAGAUUCUUAUAGAUUAAUACAUAUGAGAUGUUUAGUCUGUACCGAUAUUUGAGAUAAAUUCAUAUAUUGUUUGAACUUUGUAAGGAUGGUUUGGCUUCUCGACGAUGCCUAUGACACACAACACCGGGCCUACAUGAUGCGCGGGAAGGGGCUGAAGCUUGAGCCUCUGAAGAUUUGGUAUCACGGGGUCUCUGGUCCUGCCAUGCCGUACGACGAGCGGUACACACCGUACAUCCAGCAGGCAGGACUCCUCCCGUGGAUUCAGUUGGUCAGCCAGUCCACGCCGAACCUCAACGCUCCACUGGUGUCUGCUCUUGCUGAUCGGUGGAGGCCGGAGACGCACAAUUUCCAUUUUAGGACUAGAGAGAUGACCGUGACGCUCGAGGAUGUCUCCUUGAUCACUGGUCUUGCUAUCGAUGGGAGGCCUCUCUGUAUGAGCACCGAUUCUGAUGGGUGGCGCCAGCAGAUGAUUGCUCUUAUUGGUAUGGCUCCUACCGAGGCUGAGGCUGAUGUAGAGGAGGAAGAAAAGAAGAAGAAGAAGGAAAGGAAAGCAGCCGGAGCUGCUUUCACGUGGAUUCAAAGGAACUUUGCGCAUUGCCCUGCGAAUGCCAAUGAUGAUGUGAUCCAGACACAUGCUCAUGUCUAUAUGUGGUACGUUGUCUCGAGGACUUUGUUUCCCGAGUCCACGGGCAAGAACGCUCCAUGGAUGUGGCUGAAGGCGUUGACCGUCUUCGAUAGCAGAUGGAGCUGGGGUUCAGCUACUCUUGCAUAAUUGUACCUUGCUGUCAAGUUAACAUUGUUUUCUUUCAUAUGUAGCUGGAUGAUGUGUGUAGCAGGAUCACAUAUAGGGCAGGCAUUGGUGGUAAUAUGCUUCUACUUUCUAUAUGGAGCUGGGAGCGUCUGCCUGUUGGACACCCGAAGAGCGCGAAGUUUAAUCCUUGGGAUGAAGACGACGAAUUACGGCGCCCCACUUGGGCUUACAAGUGGGAUGUGGUGGCCGAGAUGACGAACGAUGUCAAUCUCAUGUACCAAAAGUGCAUUGCCGAGUUGGACACGAUUUCUCCUGAGUGCAAUGACAGCCAUAUGGCGCCAAUGACACAGUAGGGUACACUCUAGAGUUUGCCAUCAACCCGAUGCGCUUGCGGGAUAGGGAUCUUUGGCUCAUAUAGUGGCCACUAAUAUGCAACUGGGCGGUUGAGCUCCAUUUGCCACAUCGCGUGUAUCAUCAAUUUGGUCCAUUCCAGCCUCACCUGCCGGAUUGGGCGGACACGUACAAAGCACUUCAUAAGUUGGACAGGAGAAAGUAGCGGAAGAUAAAGGACUGGGACAAGCAUCAUGCUAAUUCGUAUGUUACCCACUUUCAUCUUUGUGUGGAGCAAGCUCAUAACAGUGCACACGCCCAGCUUCUUGAGCAUAGCUCACUUGCUUUCGAUAACUACUUACGAUGGCUUCUUGAAAAUACUCGAGUUGAGAUAUGCCCGCCGGCACACAAUGAUGACAUUCUUGAAGACCCCCUAAAAUUUGAGGAUCUAUCAAAGGGGAAGUACAAAAAAGAUGUCAGGGAAGGGCUAGGAGUCCCUGCUGUUCUGGUGAUUAACUAUGUGCGCAACCAGAUCAAGCUGAUGGAAGCCAGUCUAUUCUGGAGAAGACACUGGUUGGACAAGGCAAUGAUGAAGGUCCACUAUGGAAAUUUCUCAAGCGCCAGGCCUAGAAGUUAAGGCGGUUAUCGAACCUUCUCGGUUGCCGUGACCCAGAAUAUGAUGAACCAUAUGCCUCUAGGUCUGGUACACCAUCAGACCACUUAUCUCACCAUGAGGGGAACGAUGUUGAUGAGAUCGAUGACGACAUUACUUUGGCGGACGCUCAAGUUCGGUCUGCAUACAUGUUCAAGUGUAGGCAGCCCAUACGCCGGUAUACACCCACCGACUUUGACAACAGAGGCAACCCAAAGGUGGUCGCAUGGAGCUUGCGGAUGCCGAGCUUGGAUGAUGAGGCGGAGGAGGAAGUGGAGGCAGAGGAUGCUCGUCCUGGCAGGAGGAAUUAGACCGCUAGCAGGCGUGGCACAAGGAACACACGUGGAAGGCAUUAGUACUUGUCGUUUUUAUUAUGAAACUGAACUUGUCGCUGUUUCAUUAGGUUGAUGAACUUGUGAGGUUAUGUGAUGUGUUGGUGAACUCUUAGUAGUGUGGUACUUGUGUUUGCGAACUUGUAGUAAUGUUUGAAUUGUCCUAAAUGAUGUGAUG
Molecule: RNA transcript, 2432 nt
Organism: Triticum dicoccoides
Lineage: Eukaryota; Viridiplantae; Streptophyta; Magnoliopsida; Poales; Poaceae
Gene name: protein MAIN-LIKE 2-like
Exons: 7
Source: RefSeq, a predicted model, not a curated record